AACUGAUACUACCUGCGGGAACCUGCGGAAGGAUCAUUACAGAGUUGCAAAACUCCUCCACACACGCGAACUUACCCGUAUUGUUGCUUCGGCGGGCGGCCCCAGGGCGGGGCCGUAGCCUGUAAAGGCGCCCGCCGGAGGUGCCAAACUCUGUUUGUAUAGGCCUCUCUGAGUAUUGCAAGAAUAAGUCAAAACUUUCAGCAAUGGAUCUCU
This 213-nucleotide unclassified non-coding RNA is filed under the name soil metagenome. RNAcentral describes it as "partial contains 5.8S ribosomal RNA, internal transcribed spacer 2, and large subunit ribosomal RNA". The record is from RNAcentral.